UAAACGGCCGCGGUAUUCUGACCGUGCAAAGGUAGCAUAAUCAUUUGUUCUCUAAAUAAGGACUUGUAUGAAUGGCCACACGAGGGUUUUACUGUCUCUUACUUCCAAUCAGUGAAAUUGACCUCCCCGUGAAGAGGCGGGGAUAAAUCAACAAGACGAGAAGACCCUAUGGAGCUUUAACUAAGUAACUCAAGGAAAAUAAAUUCAACCACCAAGGGAUAACAACACUCCUUAUGAGUUAACAGUUUCGGUUGGGGUGACCUCGGAGAACAGAAAAUCCUCCGAGCGAUUUUAAAGACUAGACUAACAAGUCAAACCAAACCAUCGCUUAUUGAUCCAAAAACUUGAUCAACGGAACAAGUUACCCUAGGGAUAACAGCGCAAUCCUAUUCAAGAGUCCAUAUCGACAAUAGGGUUUACGACCUCGAUGUUGGAUCAGGACACCCCGAUGGUGCAACCGCUAUCAAAGGUUCGUUUGUUCAACGAUUAAAGUCCUACGUGAUCUGAGUUCAGACCGGAGUAAUCCAGGUCGGUUU
Molecule: ribosomal RNA, 536 nt
Filed under: Ovis aries (sheep)
Lineage: Eukaryota; Metazoa; Chordata; Mammalia; Artiodactyla; Bovidae
Description: partial 16S ribosomal RNA
Rfam family: Bacterial large subunit ribosomal RNA
Source: RNAcentral